UCAAUGUGUUCCCCCUCUCAGG
RNAcentral lists this microRNA (22 nucleotides) under Sarcophilus harrisii (Tasmanian devil). RNAcentral describes it as "Sha-Mir-7309_3p (mature (guide))". RNAcentral also lists the same sequence under 2 other names. The record is from RNAcentral. Lineage: Eukaryota; Metazoa; Chordata; Mammalia; Dasyuromorphia; Dasyuridae.